Long non-coding RNA from Ailuropoda melanoleuca (giant panda), 701 nucleotides. RefSeq lists it as uncharacterized. Lineage: Eukaryota; Metazoa; Chordata; Mammalia; Carnivora; Ursidae. The record is from RefSeq and is a predicted model, not a curated record. The transcript is spliced from 4 exons.
CUCGCGCCGGCAGGGGAGCACCGUGGGCGGCGCCCGCCUCCCCGCUCCGGCCGCGCUCCGCCCCGUCUCCGCCCUCCGCCCGGCCCUUGGCUUUUGUCACCACCAGCCUCCUCAGACCCUUUCCGGAAUGCCCCAGUUUAGGCCCUAACAUGAAGAAAGAAAAAAGUGUAAAAGGGACACUUACUCAUUAAGACUGAGACAGUUCGAACAAGUGAGUAUGCCUGCAGUAAGCUUCUACUGGUUUCCAGGGUUUGCCACCCUACAGCAUGUAGGUGGAAGUCAUGACAAUUGCCAAUUUUCAACAAACAUCAGUUUCAUAAACAAUCAGUCACUCUAAUGGCUGUGGGAAACGGGAGCUGAAGUGUACUUCGCGAGUCUGCUUGAGAGAAGAGACAGUUGUGAACAAGGCCUGGGACCCACGUGGAAGAUGAAGGUAGAGGGGGAUUGGAAAGCAAUUUCCAAAGUUGUUUCUGCUUGGCAUAAGAAGACCCCUCUCCUGACUUCUAUACCUCCACUGGCAAGAGUUACAAGAAAGCUUGUUACAAGAGUUGUUAACAGGAGUUUCAAGAAUGUGCUUCUGGAGGCGCCUGGGUGGCACAGCGGUUAAGCGUCUGUCUUCAGCUCAGGGCGUGAUCCUGGCGUUAUGGGAUCGAGCCCCACAUCAGGCUCCUCCGCUAUGAGCCUACUUCUUCCUCUCCCAC